Molecule: transfer RNA, 89 nt
Organism: Puccinia sorghi
Lineage: Eukaryota; Fungi; Basidiomycota; Pucciniomycetes; Pucciniales; Pucciniaceae
Rfam family: tRNA
About the family: Transfer RNA (tRNA) molecules are approximately 80 nucleotides in length. Their secondary structure includes four short double-helical elements and three loops (D, anti-codon, and T loops).
Source: Rfam
GGCACUGUAGCUCAGUUGGUAGAGCACAUGCUUAACACUAAUCCCAGCACGUUCGCAUGUUGUCGUCGGUUCGAGCCCGGCCAGAGUCA